Cotesia glomerata is the source of this 408-nucleotide long non-coding RNA. RefSeq lists it as uncharacterized. NCBI's taxonomy places the organism in Eukaryota, Metazoa, Arthropoda, Insecta, Hymenoptera, Braconidae. The transcript is spliced from 2 exons. The record is from RefSeq and is a predicted model, not a curated record.
CUUUACGUCGUUCUGACAAAUAAAAUUUUUUUACGUCUCCUUCUGCUGUUACCACGGAAUUUAUUUUUUGAAACAAAAUUUGACACACAAUCACUGACUUCUUACAAAAGCUCUUAUACGCACAACUCUUAGAGAACAACUGACUAACAGUCCAGGGCCUGGACUCUGGACUCCAGGCUAAGCCAGAUCGUGAAUAGAGUAACCCCCUUCCUCACUACCACGUGGCUGCAGUGCCUUCGUUUUGGCGGAAACUGAAGAAAAAUUUCUCAAAACGAUUGACAGCCAGCGCGCCAGAGUAAUUUAUUCAGAUAUAGAACAUUAGUCUUGAAAUAAAAAUCCAAUCUGGAUAGUCCACUUAGUAUCACAUAUUUGUUAAACACUCUUGAUUGUAAUUUGCAAAUAAAAAUA